CGAUACAGGGUGACAGCCCCGUACACAAAAGCGCAUGUGCUGUGAGCUCGAUGAGUAGGGCGGGACACGUGGUAUCCUGUCUGAAUAUGGGGGGACCAUCCUCCAAGGCUAAAUACUCCUGACUGACCGAUAGUGAACCAGUACCGUGAGGGAAAGGCGAAAAGAACCCCGGCGAGGGGAGUGAAAAAGAACCUGAAACCGUGUACGUACAAGCAGUGGGAGCACAGGUUUACCUGUGUGACUGCGUACCUUUUGUAUAAUGGGUCAGCGACUUAUAUUCUGUAGCAAGGUUAACCGUAUAGGGGAGCCGAAGGGAAACCGAGUCUUAAUUGGGCGUUAAGUUGCAGGGUAUAGACCCGAAACCCGGUGAUCUAGCCAUGGGCAGGUUGAAGGUUGGGUAACACUAACUGGAGGACCGAACCGACUAAUGUUGAAAAAUUAGCGGAUGACCUGUGGCUGGGGGUGAAAGGCCAAUCAAACCGGGAGAUAGCUGGUUCUCCCCGAAAGCUAUUUAGGUAGCGCCUCGUGAAUUCAUCUCCGGGGGUAGAGCACUGUUUCGGCUAGGGGGCCAUCCCGGCUUACCAACCCGAUGCAAACUGCGAAUACCGGAGAAUGUUAUCACGGGAGACACACGGCGGGUGCUAACGUCCGUCGUGAAGAGGGAAACAACCCAGACCGCCAGCUAAGGUCCCAAAGUCAUGGUUAAGUGGGAAACGAUGUGGGAAGGCCCAGACAGCCAGGAUGUUGGCUUAGAAGCAGCCAUCAUUUAAAGAAAGCGUAAUAGCUCACUGGUCGAGUCGGCCUGCGCGGAAGAUGUAACGGGGCUAAACCAUGCACCGAAGCUGCGGCAGCGACACUGUGUGUUGUUGGGUAGGGGAGCGUUCUGUAAGCCUGUGAAGGUGUGUCGUGAGGCAUGCUGGAGGUAUCAGAAGUGCGAAUGCUGACAUAAGUAACGAUAAAGCGGGUGAAAAGCCCGCUCGCCGGAAGACCAAGGGUUCCUGUCCAACGUUAAUCGGGGCAGGGUGAGUCGACCCCUAAGGCGAGGCCGAAAGGCGUAGUCGAUGGGAAACGGGUUAAUAUUCCCGUACUUGGUGUUACUGCGAAGGGGGGACGGAGAAGGCUAUGUUGGCCGGGCGACGGUUGUCCCGGUUUAAGCGUGUAGGUGUGUGUUCCAGGUAAAUCCGGUU
Molecule: ribosomal RNA, 1187 nt
Filed under: Salmonella enterica subsp. enterica serovar Newport
Lineage: Bacteria; Pseudomonadati; Pseudomonadota; Gammaproteobacteria; Enterobacterales; Enterobacteriaceae
Description: partial 23S ribosomal RNA
Rfam family: Bacterial large subunit ribosomal RNA
Source: RNAcentral